UCCUUUUAACAACAACAACAACAACAACAUCUCACAGGUCUCUUAAGACGGUCCUAAACAAAAAACACAACUGUUUAGGUUUCGUCGUCGACGCGCUCAUCAACAAAGUCCCAGACGAAGAAAUUUAACCAAUACCAUAUCUCGAGGGACGAAGCGCGUUACGAUUUAGAUCGGAGAUCUCACCGAGAUCGCCGGUGAAUUAGGGUUUGAAUUUUGGUUUCCAAGAUGACUCAAUCUAUCUGUUCGUCGUCUCAAGAUCAAUCUUCUUCUCCUCGUUCUUUGAUUCCGCCACGCAAAUCGGCGACGAAUUUUCACCGCCGCAGGGGGAGGAGUGUAUUUAGUAUGUUGGUUCAGAGGGAAAUGUCACCAAAUGCGAAGUUUGUACCAAGGAAACGGUGGGGGAAGAGUAGAUGGUAUACUGAUUCUUCAUGCGGAACCAACAGCGAGCCGUUGAGAGAGGCGGGACAAAGUCUUACUUCAUGGGUUGAGGCAGAGUCAUUGCAGCAUUUAUCUGCAAAAUAUUGUCCUCUUGGAGCUCCUCCGAGGUCGACUAUUGCAGCGGCUUUUAGUUCUGAUGGAAGAACUCUUGCUUCUACACAUGGUGAUCAUACUGUAAAGAUUAUUGAUUGUGAAACUGGAAACUGCUUAAAAGUUUUGAACGGCCAUCAAAGGACUCCUUGGGUGGUCAGAUUCCACCCGCUUCAUUCAGAAAUAGUUGCUAGUGGAAGUUUAGAUCUUGAGGUCCGCUUAUGGAAUAUCACAACUUCUGAAUGUAUUAGAUCUCAUGUAUUCUAUCGUCCUAUUGCUUCUAUCGCUUUCCAUGCUGAGGGUGAACUACUUGCUGUUGCUUCUGGUCAUAAGCUGCACAUGUGGCACUACAAUAGGAGAGGAGAUGAAUCAUCACCAACCGUUGUAUUGAAGACGAGGCGCUCUCUGAGAGCUGUACACUUCCACCCUCAUGGGGCACCAUUUCUCUUGACCGCAGAGUGGCAGGUGAAUGAAAUUGAUUCAUUAGAUUCUUCAAUGUCUAGAGCAACAUCUAUGGGAUACUUGAGGUAUCCGCCCCCUGCUAUUUUGUUCACAAGCACGGAAAGCAAUCGAACUAGUUUGGCAGCAGAACUUCCCCUUGUGCCACUUCCACACAUGUCCGUGCCUGCACCUUCUGGAGGUGAACCAAGAAUUGGUCAAUAUACUACUGGUAAUACUGGUCAAAUUAGUUCCCAAUCAGGGUUUCAGAAUCUUCAGAGCUCUUCGGAAAAUGAGAACAGAACAUCGUCUCUUCCUUUUCCCUUGGCUACAUCCAGUGGUCCUUUUGUUUCAAAUAGUGUUCCAGGAAAUUCUCCUAGCAAUAUACUUUUUACCCGAGCUGGAGAUAGAACUCCUGCAGUUGAUGGCAUGAAUGUAGAUGAAGCUCAACCUGUUGGAAGAAACGGAAUUCCUAGCCAAGUUUCAACUCGAUCUGAUUUCCCUGAGCUUGGACAGAUUCGGCAAUUAUAUCACUUUAGGGAUAGAGUUUCCUGGGAGUUACCUUUUCUACAAGGAUGGUUGAUGGCUCAAGGUCAUGGUGUUUCUAAUCCAGUGGUUCCUCCUACUGGCAGUAGUAAUCAUGGCAUCGCAGCUCCAUCUUCAACAUCUCGUUUAUCAACAGCCAGUCUGGAGGCUGCAGUAGCGUUAUUAGAAAUCCCGAGUGGUGUUAACUUACAUGCGGUGUCUGGAAGAGGCAGAGCCCAGGAACAAACUUCACAACCCCAAUUCUCGGGAUCUGGAUUACCGGAAGGUGUGUCUUCUCAUAACACGCAACAUGGAAGUGAUGCUCAACCUGUAGUGAACAGGGUCCAGUCUGAGCUUGCAACCUCAAUUGCUGCUUCGGCAGCAGCAGCAGCAGCUUCUGCAGAAUUACCCUGUACUGUCAAACUCAGAGUGUGGUCGCAUGACAUUAAAGACCCAUAUGCACAACUGAAGUCCGACAGAUGUCUAUUUACAAUACCGCAUGCCGUCCUUUGCAGUGAAAUGGGAGCUCAUUUUUCGCCAUGCGGGAGAUAUUUAGCAGCCUGUGUUGCAUGUGUUUUUCCUCAUGCUGAGAUAGAUCCUGGACUGCAGACACAAGCCCAACAAGAUUCAGGGCUUGCAACUUCCCCAACUCGACACCCUGUCACAGCACACCAAGUCAUUUACGAGCUUCGUGUGUAUUCUCUCCAGAAGGAAAGUUUUGGUUCAGUACUUGUGUCACGGGCAAUUAGAGCUGCACAUUGCUUGACCUCUAUCCAGUUCUCACCCACCUCGGAGCAUAUACUUCUUGCAUAUGGGCGGCGUCAUGGUUCUCUUUUGAGGAGCAUUGUUAGUGAUGGUGAAGCAACAUCACAUUUUUUCACAGUGUUGGAGAUAUACAGAGUUUCAGAUAUGGAGCUUGUGAGAGUACUGCCAAGUUCAGAUGAUGAAGUAAAUGUUGCUUGUUUUCAUCCUUCUCCUGGAGGAGGUCUUGUUUAUGGGACAAAGGAGGGGAAACUGAGGAUCUUCCAGUACAAUACAGCGGCUACCUCAAACUUCACUGGACCAAAUACCUAACCUGAGGAGAAGAAGUUACACCUAACCUGAGGUAGCGUAGAAUUAUUAUAAAGAAGAUGCAUUAGAGUGGUAGCAGGCAAGAAGCAAACAUAGGUUUCAACGAAUCUUUUCCACACUCUCUUGACAAAGAAAUGUAAAAAUGAGAACGAAAAAAAAAAGAAUUGGUUUAGUUUUGGUUUUAAGGUUUGUAACAACGUGACAUUUCCUCUACAGAUUAAGUUAAAUAUAUAAACUAAAAUAUAAAUAGGCU
Molecule: RNA transcript, 2815 nt
Organism: Arabidopsis lyrata subsp. lyrata
Lineage: Eukaryota; Viridiplantae; Streptophyta; Magnoliopsida; Brassicales; Brassicaceae
Exons: 14
Source: RefSeq, a predicted model, not a curated record